UACGUAGGGGGCAAGCGUUGUCCGGAUUUACUGGGCGUAAAGAGCGCGUAGGCGGACGUUUAAGUGUGGCCUGAAAGCCCCCGGCUCAACUGGGGAGGGUCACGCGAUACUGCUCGACUUGAAGGCAGGAGAGGGAAGUGGAAUUCCCGGUGUAGUGGUGAAAUGCGUAGAUAUCGGGAGGAACACCAGUGGCGAAGGCGACUUCCUGGCCUGUUCUUGACGCUGAGGCGCGAAAGCUAGGGUAGCAAACGGG
This 253-nucleotide ribosomal RNA is filed under the name uncultured bacterium. Its description in RNAcentral is "partial 16S ribosomal RNA". It matches the Rfam family "Bacterial small subunit ribosomal RNA", at positions 524 to 776 of the family's 1533-position model. The record is from RNAcentral.